Molecule: long non-coding RNA, 142 nt
Organism: Camelina sativa (false flax)
Lineage: Eukaryota; Viridiplantae; Streptophyta; Magnoliopsida; Brassicales; Brassicaceae
Source: RefSeq, a predicted model, not a curated record
UGUAGUCCUAUUCUGUAUAUUUCUUUCAGAGUUGCAUUAUGAUCAUCAAGUCCUUCUUGAUUACCUAAUAUCUAAAGAUAUCGGGGCUAGCUGUGCAGAGUACCUGCUGAGAUGUUUGCGGGCUGUCUGUGAUUCAUGGACC